AGGCCGCAGGCGCAGAGACCUCCCUCGGGCUGGGAGUUGUAGUUCUUAGCAGUGGGUCUUGCUGUGUCCCUCGGGCUGGAGUGCAGUGGCACCAUCACAGUUCACUUGCAGCCUCGACCUCCCUGGGUUCAAGCCAUCCUCCUGCCUCAGCCUCCAGAGGAGCUGGACUACAGAUGUGAGCCACCAUGUCUGGCCC
Molecule: long non-coding RNA, 196 nt
Organism: Homo sapiens (human)
Lineage: Eukaryota; Metazoa; Chordata; Mammalia; Primates; Hominidae
Product: long intergenic non-protein coding RNA 649
Source: Ensembl